GGGACCGUACGCGUUUUCGGAGUGGAGGUGCUGCGCGGUGUCCAGGAAGCUUCCUCCUGCAUUAGGAGGUCUAUACAUGCUGUUAUCUUUGCUGGACUCUCCUCCCAUCUCUUCAUCUAGGGGACAUGGGUUCGAGCCCUGGUCUGGGAAGAUCCCACAUGCCGGGGAGCAACUAAGCCGUGCACUACAGCUACUGAGUCUGCUCUCUAGAGCCUGUGAGCCACAACUACUGAGCCCACAUGCUGCAACUACUGAAGCCCACAUGCCUAGAGCCCGUGUUCCCCAACAAGAGAAGCCACCGCAAUGACAAGCCUGCGCACCGCAACGGAGUAGCCCCUGCUCGCCGCAACUAGAGAAAGCCUGCGCACAGCAACAAAGACCCAACGCAGCCAAAAAUAAAUAAAUAAAUAAAUA
This is a long non-coding RNA of Physeter macrocephalus (sperm whale), 414 nucleotides long. RefSeq lists it as uncharacterized. NCBI's taxonomy places the organism in Eukaryota, Metazoa, Chordata, Mammalia, Artiodactyla, Physeteridae. The transcript has 3 exons. The record is from RefSeq and is a predicted model, not a curated record.